GAUGAACGCUGGCGGCGUGCCUAACACAUGCAAGUCGAGCGAUUCUCUUCGGAGAAGAGCGGCGGACGGGUGAGUAACGCGUGGGUAACCUGCCCUGUACACACGGAUAACAUACCGAAAGGUAUGCUAAUACGAGAUAAUAUGCUUUUAUCGCAUGGUAGAAGUAUCAAAGUUUUUGCGGUACAGGAUGGACCCGCGUCUGAUUAGCUAGUUGGUAAGGUAACGGCUUACCAAGGCGACGAUCAGUAGCCGACCUGAGAGGGUGAUCGGCCACAUUGGAACUGAGACACGGUCCAAACUCCUACGGGAGGCAGCAGUGGGGAAUAUUGCACAAUGGGCGAAAGCCUGAUGCAGCAACGCCGCGUGAGCGAUGAAGGCCUUCGGGUCGUAAGACUCUGUCCUCAAGGAAGAUAAUGACGGUACUUGAGGAGGAAGCCCCGGCUAACUACGUG
Molecule: ribosomal RNA, 452 nt
Filed under: uncultured bacterium
Lineage: Bacteria
Description: bacterial SSU rRNA
Rfam family: Bacterial small subunit ribosomal RNA
Source: RNAcentral